CCUACGGGUGGCAGCAGUGAGGAAUAUUGGUCAAUGGGCGCGAGCCUGAACCAGCCAAGUAGCGUGAAGGAUGACUGCCCUACGGGUUGUAAACUUCUUUUAUAAAGGAAUAAAGUGAGGCACGUGUGCCUUUUUGUAUGUACUUUAUGAAUAAGGAUCGGCUAACUCCGUGCCAGCAGCGGCGGUAAUACGGAGGAUCCGAGGUUUAUCGGGUUUUAUUGGGUUUAAAGGGAGCGUAGAUGGGUUGUUAAGUCAGUUGUGAAAGUUUGCGGCUCAACCGUAAAAUUGCAAUUGAUACUGGCGGUCUUGAGUACAGUUGAGGGAGGCGGAAUUCGUGGUGUAGCGGUGAAAUGCUUAGAUAUAACGAAGAACUCCGAUUGCGAAGGCAGCUUACUAAACUGCCACUGACAUUGAUGCUCGAAAGUGUGGGUAUCAAACAGGAUUAGAUACCCGAGUAUC
This 459-nucleotide ribosomal RNA is filed under the name uncultured bacterium. RNAcentral describes it as "partial 16S ribosomal RNA". It matches the Rfam family "Bacterial small subunit ribosomal RNA", at positions 338 to 795 of the family's 1533-position model. The record is from RNAcentral.